RNAcentral lists this ribosomal RNA (972 nucleotides) under Akkermansia muciniphila. RNAcentral's name for it is "bacterial SSU rRNA". It matches the Rfam family "Bacterial small subunit ribosomal RNA", at positions 8 to 976 of the family's 1533-position model. Lineage: Bacteria; Pseudomonadati; Verrucomicrobiota; Verrucomicrobiia; Verrucomicrobiales; Akkermansiaceae. The record is from RNAcentral.
AGAGUUUGAUCCUGGCUCAGGAUGAACGCUGGCGGCAUGCCUAAUACAUGCAAGUCGAACGAGAGACCUUCGGGUCUCUAGUGGCGAACGGGUGAGUAACACGUAGGGAACCUGCCCGCGCACCGGGAAUACGCUCUGGAAACGGAGAACAAAUCCCGAUGUACAGGAAGGAGGCAUCUUCUUUCUGUGAAACAUCCUUUCGGGGAUGGGGCGCGGAUGGACCUGCGGUGCAUUAGUUGGUUGGCGGGGUAAAGGCCCACCAAGACGAUGAUGCAUAGCCGGCCUGAGAGGGCGGACGGCCACAUUGGGACUGAGACACGGCCCAGACUCCUGCGGGAGGCAGCAGUAGGGAAUUUUCGUCAAUGGGCGCAAGCCUGAACGAGCGAUGCCGCGUGAGUGAAGAAGGCCUUCGGGUCGUAAAGCUCUGUUGCGGGGGAAAAAAGGCAGCAUCAGGAAAUGGGUGCUGACUGAUGGUGCCCCGCCAGAAAGUCACGGCUAACUACGUGCCAGCAGCCGCGGUAAUACGUAGGUGGCGAGCGUUAUCCGGAAUGAUUGGGCGUAAAGGGUGCGCAGGCGGUCCUGCAAGUCUGGAGUGAAACGCAUGAGCUCAACUCAUGCAUGGCUUUGGAAACUGGAGGACUGGAGAGCAGGAGAGGGCGGUGGAACUCCAUGUGUAGCGGUAAAAUGCGUAGAUAUAUGGAAGAACACCAGUGGCGAAGGCGGCCGCCUGGCCUGUUGCUGACGCUGAGGCACGAAAGCGUGGGGAGCAAAUAGGAUUAGAUACCCUAGUAGUCCACGCCGUAAACGAUGAGGACCAAGUGUUGGGGGUGAAACCUCAGUGCUGAAGUUAACGCAGUGAGUCCUCCGCCUGGGGAGUAUGCACGCAAGUGUGAAACUCAAAGGAAUUGACGGGGGCCCGCACAAGCGGUGGAGUAUGUGGUUUAAUUCGAAGCAACGCGAAGAACCUUACCA